GUGCUCACUUCGGCAGCUCAUAUACUAAAAUUGUAACGAUACAGAGAAAAUUAGCAUGGACCCUGUGCACGGAUGACAUGCAAAUUCGGGAAGCAUUCCAUAUUAAA
Zalophus californianus (California sea lion) is the source of this 107-nucleotide small nuclear RNA. The record is from Ensembl. Lineage: Eukaryota; Metazoa; Chordata; Mammalia; Carnivora; Otariidae.